CCAGGUUCAAGCGAUUCUCCUGCCUCAGCCUCCCGAGUAGCUGGGAUUACAGGUGCCCACCACCAUGCCUGGCUAAUUUUUUUGUUUUUUUUUUUGUGGUAGAGACAAGGUUUCACGACGUUGGCCAGGCUGGUCCCGAACUCCUGACCUCAGGUGAUCCGCCCACCUCAGUCUCCCAAAGUGCUGGGAUUAUAGGUGUGAGCCACUGUGCCCAGCUGCUACUGAAUACUUGAAAUAUGGCCAGUGCCACCGAGUGUAAAUAUAAAAUGCACACUGGAUGUCAAAGACUUUGUCCAAAAAAAAAAGAAAUAUAAAUUAAAAAAAGAAUUACAUGCGCAGUGGCUCACGCCUGUAAUCCCAACACUUUGGUAGGUCGAGGAAGGCAGAUCAUUUGAGGUCAGGAGUUCAAAACCAGCCUGGCCAACAUUAGCUCAUUAAUAAUUUUUAUAUUGGUCACAUGUUAAAAAUAUAUUGUAUAUAUCAAAUUAAUUUCUUUUGUUUCUUUUUACUUUUUAAAUUUUAC
This 523-nucleotide long non-coding RNA is filed under the name Pan troglodytes (chimpanzee). RNAcentral's name for it is "long non-coding RNA NONPTRT004026". Lineage: Eukaryota; Metazoa; Chordata; Mammalia; Primates; Hominidae. The record is from RNAcentral.